RNAcentral lists this ribosomal RNA (492 nucleotides) under uncultured bacterium. Its description in RNAcentral is "partial 16S ribosomal RNA". It matches the Rfam family "Bacterial small subunit ribosomal RNA", at positions 29 to 507 of the family's 1533-position model. The record is from RNAcentral.
AGUGAACGCUGGCGGUAGGCCUAACACAUGCAAGUCGAACGGCAGCAUAGUAAGAGCUUGCUCUUACGGGUGGCGAGUGGCGGACGGGUGAGGAAUACAUCGGAAUCUACUUUUUCGUGGGGGAUAACGUAGGGAAACUUACGCUAAUACCGCAUACGACCUACGGGUGAAAGCAGGGGAUCUUCGGACCUUGCGCGAUUGAAUGAGCCGAUGUCGGAUUAGCUAGUUGGCGGGGUAAAGGCCCACCAAGGCGACGAUCCGUAGCUGGUCUGAGAGGAUGGUCAGACACACUGGAAGUGAGACACGGUCCAGACUCCUACAGGAGGAAGCAGUGGGGAAUAUUAGACGAUGGGGGAAAGCCUGAUACAGCAAUACCGCGUGAGUGAAGAAGGACUUCGGGUUGUAAAGCCCUUUUGUUGGGAAAGAAAAACAGCAGGUUAAUACCCCGCUGUUAUGACGGUACCCAAAGAAUAAGCACCGGCUAACUUCGUG